This 261-nucleotide ribosomal RNA is filed under the name uncultured bacterium. Its description in RNAcentral is "partial 16S ribosomal RNA". The record is from RNAcentral.
GGACUACUCGGGUUUCUAAUCCUUCUCGCUACCCCAGGCUUCGUCCCUCAACGUCAGUUUUUACAUACAAAGCUGCCUUCGCUGUUACCCGUCCCCUUAGUAUAGUAGAAUUAAAACUCUCCUCUAAGAGUUCGGACUUUAUUACAUAAAACUCUAGAAAAUUAGUUCCUUUUUUAGGCUUGAUUUUCCGUCUAGGUACCCUUUAGACCUUUUAAAGAUGAAUAACACUUGUCUUCUACGUGUUACCGCGGCGGCUGGCAC